AACGUACGCUGGCGGCACGCCUAACACAUGCAAGUCGAACGAAGUAGCAAUACUUAGUGGCAGACGGGUGAGUAACAUGUGGGUAUCUGCCCUUUGGCCUGGAAUAACACGAGGAAACUUGUGCUAAUACCGGAUAAGUCUUUACGGAGAAAGCUUUAUGCACCAUUGGAUGAGCCCGCACUUGAUUAGUUUGUUGGUGGGGUAAUGGCCUACCAAGACUGUGAUCAAUAGCUGAUUUGAGAGGAUGAUCAGCCACAUUGGGACUGAGACACGGCCCAAACUCCUACGGGAGGCAGCAGUGGGGAAUCUUGCACAAUGGAGGAAACUCUGAUGCAGCGAUGCCGCGUGAGUGAAGAAGGCCCUUGGGUUGUAAAGCUCUUUCGUCGGGGAAGAAAAUGACUGUACCCGAAUAAGAAGGUCCGGCUAACUUCGUGCCAGCAGCCGCGGUAAUACGAAGGGACCUAGCGUAGUUCGGAAUUACUGGGCUUAAAGAGUUCGUAGGUGGUUGAAAAAGUUGGUGGUGAAAUCCCAGAGCUUAACUCUGGAACUGCCAUCAAAACUUUUCAGCUAGAGUAUGAUAGAGGAAAGCAGAAUUUCUAGUGUAGAGGUGAAAUUCGUAGAUAUUAGAAAGAAUACCAAUUGCGAAGGCAGCUUUCUGGAUCAUUACUGACACUGAGGAACGAAAGCAUGGGUAGCGAAGAGGAUUAGAUACCCUCGUAGUCCAUGCCGUAAACGAUGUGUGUUAGACGUUGGAAAUUUAUUUUCAGUGUCGCAGCGAAAGCGAUAAACACACCGCCUGGGGAGUACGACCGCAAGGUUAAAACUCAAAUGAAUUGACGGGGACCCGCACAAGUAGUGGAGCAUGUGGUUUAAUUCGAAGAUACGCGCAGAACCUUACCAACACUUGACAUGUUCGUCGCGACUCUAAGAGAUUAGAGUUUUCGGUUCGGCCGGACGAAACACAGGUGCUGCAUGGCUGUCGUCAGCUCGUGUCGUGAGAUGUUGGGUUAAGUCCCGCAACGAGCGCAACCCUCACUUUUAGUUGCCAUCAUUAAGUUGGGCACUCUGAAAGAACUGCCAGUGAUAAGCUGGAGGAAGGUGGGGAUGACGUCAAGUCCUCAUGGCCCUUACGUGUUGGGCUACACACGUGCUACAAUGGUAUCUACAACAGGAAGCAAGACUGCGAGGUCAAGCAAAUCCUUAAAAGAUACCUCAGUUCGGAUUGCACUCUGCAACUCGAGUGCAUGAAGCUGGAAUUACUAGUAAUCGUGGAUCAGCGUGCCACGGUGAAUGCGUUCCCGGGUCU
RNAcentral lists this ribosomal RNA (1306 nucleotides) under uncultured bacterium. RNAcentral describes it as "bacterial SSU rRNA". It matches the Rfam family "Bacterial small subunit ribosomal RNA", at positions 28 to 1381 of the family's 1533-position model. The record is from RNAcentral.